This 75-nucleotide transfer RNA is filed under the name Kineosporia mesophila. RNAcentral's name for it is "tRNA-Leu". It matches the Rfam family "tRNA". Rfam says of the family: Transfer RNA (tRNA) molecules are approximately 80 nucleotides in length. Their secondary structure includes four short double-helical elements and three loops (D, anti-codon, and T loops). Further hydrogen bonds mediate the characteristic L-shaped molecular structure. tRNAs have two regions of fundamental functional importance: the anti-codon, which is responsible for specific mRNA codon recognition, and the 3' end, to which the tRNAs corresponding amino acid is attached (by aminoacyl-tRNA synthetases). tRNAs cope with the degeneracy of the genetic code in two manners: having more than one tRNA (with a specific anti-codon) for a particular amino acid; and 'wobble' base-pairing, i.e. permitting non-standard base-pairing at the 3rd anti-codon position. RNAcentral also lists the same sequence under 1 other name. Lineage: Bacteria; Bacillati; Actinomycetota; Actinomycetes; Kineosporiales; Kineosporiaceae. The record is from RNAcentral.
GCCCGUGUAGUCCAACUGGUAGAGGCGCUGCGUUCAGAACGCAGAUGGUGGGGGUUCGAAUCCCUCCGCGGGCAC